This 433-nucleotide ribosomal RNA is filed under the name uncultured bacterium. RNAcentral's name for it is "partial 16S ribosomal RNA". It matches the Rfam family "Bacterial small subunit ribosomal RNA", at positions 29 to 507 of the family's 1533-position model. The record is from RNAcentral.
AACGAACGCUGGCGGCAUGCCUAACACAUGCAAGUCGAACGAUCCCUUCGGGGAUAGUGGCGCACGGGUGCGUAACGCGUGGGAACCUGCCCUUAGGUUCGGAAUAACUCAGAGAAAUUUGAGCUAAUACCGGAUAAUGUCUUCGGACCAAAGAUUUAUCGCCUUUGGAUGGGCCCGCGUUGGAUUAGCUAGUUGGUGGGGUAAAGGCCUACCAAGGCGACGAUCCAUAGCUGGUCUGAGAGGAUGAUCAGCCACACUGGGACUGAGACACGGCCCAGACUCCUACGGGAGGCAGCAGUGGGGAAUAUUGGACAAUGGGCGGAAGCCUGAUCCAGCAAUGCCGCGUGAGUGAUGAAGGCCUUAGGGUUGUAAAGCUCUUUUACCCGGGAUGAUAAUGACAGUACCGGGAGAAUAAGCCCCGGCUAACUCCGUG